MicroRNA precursor from Bos mutus (wild yak), 76 nucleotides. The record is from Ensembl. NCBI's taxonomy places the organism in Eukaryota, Metazoa, Chordata, Mammalia, Artiodactyla, Bovidae.
CAGUUGUCCAAAAGGUUCGUUCGGGUUUUCCUGUAUGAUGUUAUGGGAAAACCCAAACAAAUCUUUUGGCCAACCC